UAGUCAUGCUCAGAAGAGACAAGAGGAGC
RNAcentral lists this non-coding RNA (29 nucleotides) under Mus musculus (house mouse). Lineage: Eukaryota; Metazoa; Chordata; Mammalia; Rodentia; Muridae. The record is from RNAcentral.